UUUGGAGUAAUGUCUAAAACCCUCUAAACAGUCACGUGUCUGCAAGUCCUCGAACUAUAACUUUUCAGGGCUAAAACCCCCUGACUUAAAUAUUUGUUGGCAUGUGUAUUUCACGCUCCUAAAACACUUUUAAAAUGUGCCAAGUGGCACAAUGCAUGUCAUUUGAACUUAAAGUUUGUUAUAAUAGGAUAAGAACGGGAAUAGUAUAUAUAGAAUCCUACAUGAAAAACGAUUGUAAUGUAGUGCCCUACUUGAAAAAAGAUCGGAAUGUAGAGUUUGUAAAUAGAGUCUCAGUGUAAUAAUGUAGAUACACAAUCAAUAACAUUCUUCUCUCAUAUUUCUCACAUGAUAUCAGAGCCUCUAUGAUCUUGGCAGAGAAUCAGAAAAAAGCUUCAACGACCGGCGGGCGGUUAUAACUCAUGUAACCGUCCGUCUGGCCAAUGAUUAUGUUAGCAAAAAUUGGGACAAUAUAUGCAUGAAAAACAAUCAUGUUGAGAAGGACUCAUUUGAGAAGCAUACGGGACAGAGAAAGUAGCCACUCUACUUUCUUAGAUCUUACUGCAUAGCACCAUGCAUCUUUUCGGUGACUACUUUCACAAAUCUGAUUUGCGUAGCACCGUGCAUAUUUCCGAACUAUGUUCUCACAUUUGAUUUGAGUAGCACCAUGCAUCUUUGCGUACUACUUUCUCAUAUCUAAGUUGCGUAGCACUGUGCGCCUUUUCGGUCUCCUCGAAUCUUAUUUGCGUAGUUCCGUGCGUCUUUCUAGUGACUCCUCAGGUCUGAUUUACAUAGUUUCACUUUUCUUUUAGUGUUGAGCGAAAACCAACACCCCUAAGAGGUCCAGUGUCUCCCUACGACCAAACGCCAACCAGCGCCGAUGUGAAUCGACCUCCCACGAGAACGUCACCUCCGGAGAGAUCCAACCACGCAUAGGCGCCUGAUACAGUUCCAACAAGUUUUUCG
Molecule: long non-coding RNA, 963 nt
Filed under: Capsicum annuum
Lineage: Eukaryota; Viridiplantae; Streptophyta; Magnoliopsida; Solanales; Solanaceae
Description: long non-coding RNA (CANN_LNC001426)
Source: RNAcentral